CAUACUUGCAAUGUUUCUUUUUUUUUUGAACACUUUUUCCAAGUUUGGCAACUAUGAUCUUCCAAAUGCAAUUCUAAACAUUUCCAAAGUAAUAGAACAAAUGUUCAUGUCACUAUGCAGACCUUAGAAGUCUAUCAAUCUAAAGUUACUGGAGUAACCUCUGUACCAAAAUUGUGACCUACAAACACUGAUCAUGCAACAGGGAAGAGCUUGUUCAAUCAUUAGCAUACAAUGGUGCUUCUAUGUAAAUAAAACAGGAGAAGUAAUGUCCAAUCUACAGUGUAUAAAAGCACAAGUCAACAUUCUACAUCAAAUAAAUGAGGCACAAUCAUUUAAUUGCACUGAUCUGUUUCAGGAGUGGGAGACUAUCUCUGUGGAACAUGGAACUAUGUGUUCCCUUCAUUCUUUUCUGCUUAUUCAACCUUGUUCUAAUCUGUUCUUGUCUUUCAUAGAUCACUUAACUCCCCAUCUUUAACCCGACUCCUCUCUCCACAGCAAUGGAGCCAUCUCCUUGUCUAUGAAACUUCAUGUCCAUUUUCAGAUGGGACAGUGAAGGGCCUAACAACACUUGGGAAUGGCAGAACAACUACUUAGUCCAUCUGAACAAACAGCAGCUGCAGGGAAAAAAGCCUUAUGUAAGCUUCCCUUUGAUGUGUAUUUCAGGCCUCUCUGAAAAUUCAGCUGCUCUAGCCCCUUCCAAGGGAGCAUCCUGUGAGGAAACUGAAUGUGGGAACUUCUGGGGGAAUCUAAAUAUAUAAAUAAGCCUUACCUGACCCUUCCAUACUUUCCCUCUGAAGCCUUAACACACACACCCUAUUCUUGGUCAUACAGAAAAAUACCAUGCACAGUGCUCUCACAUGCAUGUAUACUAAUUCUCUUUCUUAUUAAUCUAUUAAUCAAUUUUCAGAACCCCACACUGGAACCUAAGUUAUUAGAAGAAAACUUUUCCUCCCAGCAACGCUGUCUAGAUUUUUCUGGAUAGACAAGAGAGUGUGUUCAAGUAGAUAAUGCAAUUUG
RNAcentral lists this long non-coding RNA (1017 nucleotides) under Marmota monax (woodchuck). Lineage: Eukaryota; Metazoa; Chordata; Mammalia; Rodentia; Sciuridae. The record is from RNAcentral.